This 253-nucleotide ribosomal RNA is filed under the name uncultured bacterium. RNAcentral's name for it is "partial 16S ribosomal RNA". It matches the Rfam family "Bacterial small subunit ribosomal RNA", at positions 524 to 776 of the family's 1533-position model. The record is from RNAcentral.
UACGUAGGGGGCAAGCGUUGUCCGGAAUCAUUGGGCGUAAAGAGCGCGUAGGCGGUCCGGUAAGUCCGCUGUGAAAGUCAAGGGCUCAACCCUUGAAUGCCGGUGGAUACUGCCGGGCUAGAGUCCGGAAGAGGCGAGUGGAAUUCCUGGUGUAGCGGUGAAAUGCGCAGAUAUCAGGAGGAACACCAAUGGCGAAGGCAGCACUCUGGGACGUGACUGACGCUGAGACGCGAAAGCGUGGGGAGCAAACAGG